RNAcentral lists this ribosomal RNA (119 nucleotides) under Pteropus alecto (black flying fox). Lineage: Eukaryota; Metazoa; Chordata; Mammalia; Chiroptera; Pteropodidae. The record is from RNAcentral.
CUCUAUGGCCAUGCCACCCUGAACAUGCCCAAUCUCAUCUGAUCUCAGAAGCUAAGCAUGGUCGGGCCUGGUUAGUACUUGGAUGGGAGACCACCUAGGAAUACCAGGUGUUGUAGGCG